CCCAUUAACUAAUUUUUUGCUUUGUUAGAACAAAAAGAAAGUAAUUUGGGAAUGCAUUGAUUUGAGAACUUAGAGCAUCUGAAUGAAAGAAAUCCUGUUACAUAUGUAUUUAUAUCUUUGUGAUACUGAAUUUAUGUUUUCUUUACCAUUUGAGAGUACAUUAAAUACAAACCUUAGGGCUUUUUUUUAUCUAUAAAGUACAUAGAGAUUGAAUAACAUGUGAAACAGUUGAUACAGACCAAAUUAGUUGCAAUCCCCAAUAGAUCUGCUUAGAGAAUAAUGGAGAAUUUCCCCAAAAGUAUUGCUAUUUAUCAGGCUUGAACACAAAAGAUGUUCCAAUGUCGCACAAAAAAAAUGCAAGUUAUUCUUACCAUGCCUCGAGAACAUUCCAAAAGUAUGCAGAGCAAGCACAUGAAAUUCCUGGAAACUAUUCUUUAGUGCAUCAACAUGGUGAUUGGCACUUGCUUUGUAGUUACUCUUUGUUAAUGCUUGUGUCAGAAUGAAGUACCCUGAAACUUCAUUUUUCUUUGGUAGACAGUUCACCACAAUACUUAGCAGUUACCACAAAGAUCCUUAUGCAAAGGAAUUUGGCAUCAAAAUCAGUGAGAAACUUGCUUCGGUUGAAGCACGCAUUUUACCUACACUUGGGUAAGUAAAUUGGUAUUUUUUUAACAAAUGCGGGAUUUGUUUCAUUGACUAGCUAGUUCAACUACAGGAACUCCCUCCUUUGAGUGCUUUUUAAUUUUUCGUCAUUGCUUCUGGUUGGUUUUGUAGCUUAAAUCCCAUGACACUAGUAGAGAAAAGGAUUGCUUGCCCCAAGUGGGUCAAUGGAAUAUGAUGAAUAAGGCGAUUGAUGAGAGAGUUUACACAUAUGCAUGACCAAGCUGUUCAUCCAACCUGAUUCUUGGACCGAGCACAAGUUCUGGGUAAGUUUUACUAACAUGUGUGUGAAGCAUUGCCCAACCAAAUGCAGCCACAUGCACCAAUGUAGCGUAAGGUUGUGAGAUAAAAGCUUUCCAUUAAGUGGGUCACACUUUUUAGAACUUUUAGCUUAAAAAUCAAGUGUUUCCUUCCUCAAGUUUUUAGAACUUUUAGCUUAAAAAUCAAGUGUUUCCUUCCUCAAGUUUUUAGAACUUUUAGCUUAAAAAUCAAGUGUUUCCUUCCUUAAUUGUCUAUUUGCAGCCCACCAACCCAAGGAUUCAAAGGAAACCUCAGGGAUUCAUCCAUUUUGGACUCAUCAUGUGUUGUUAGUUGUUACUGAUAAAGGUCCUAGAAGGGGUCCUAUUGGUGCUGCCUCUGGUGCAAAAAUUGCCAAGGUGAUGCUCCUUUCACAUAAGGAAUAAUGUUGAAAUUAUUCUAGUAUGUACUGUAAUUAAUUAGAAUUCUAUGUUAUGGUAGUAGCAAAGAAACAAAUCCAGUUCUUCUGCCUGUGGAAGUGCUGAUGUGUUAGAGGCAUUGGGGGUAAACAUCAAUUUGGACCCUGAGGUAAGCGUUAUAAAAUGAUUGACUGAUUCCAUUUAUAGAGAGUUUCUUUUACUUCAACAUUGAUAUGGUCGUUUGUCUUUUUAAUGCUUUUUAUUAUGAUGAGCUAGGAUAGCCAGAUAUAUUUAUAUGCUUAUAAUACCUGUAUCUUGUUUUGGCAAUGCGAUAUCAAUACCAAACAGUGCAUGAAGACUUGUAAAAUGCAGCUUAAAUCGUAUCCUGUUGUAUUGGUUCGUACUAGCAGUUUUUGUCAUUGUAUUGAAGUAUCAG
Magnolia sinica is the source of this 1752-nucleotide RNA transcript. RefSeq lists it as uncharacterized. NCBI's taxonomy places the organism in Eukaryota, Viridiplantae, Streptophyta, Magnoliopsida, Magnoliales, Magnoliaceae. The record is from RefSeq and is a predicted model, not a curated record. The transcript is spliced from 2 exons.